AUGAACGCUGGCGGCGUGCUUAACACAUGCAAGUCGAACGGGGAACAAAUUAUUGAAGCUUCGGCAGAUCUAGCUUGUUCCUAGUGGCGGACGGGUGAGUAAYGCGUGGGUAACCUGCCUCACACUGGGGGAUAACAGUCAGAAAUGGCUGCUAAUACCGCAUAAGCGCACAGUACCGCAUGGUACAGUGUGAAAAACUCCGGUGGUGUGAGAUGGACCCGCGUUGGAUUAGCUAGUUGGCAGGGCAGCGGCCUACCAAGGCGACGAUCCAUAGCCGGCCUGAGAGGGUGAACGGCCACAUUGGGACUGAGACACGGCCCAGACUCCUACGGGAGGCAGCAGUGGGGAAUAUUGCACAAUGGGGGAAACCCUGAUGCAGCGACGCCGCGUGAAGGAAGAAAUAUCUCGGUAUGUAAACUUCUAUC
RNAcentral lists this ribosomal RNA (425 nucleotides) under uncultured bacterium. Its description in RNAcentral is "bacterial SSU rRNA". It matches the Rfam family "Bacterial small subunit ribosomal RNA", at positions 29 to 437 of the family's 1533-position model. The record is from RNAcentral.